GGGGCAUUAGCUCAGUUGGUAGAGCGCUUGCUUCGCAUGUAAGAGGUCGUCGGUUCGAAUCCGAUAUGCUCCACCA
Molecule: transfer RNA, 76 nt
Filed under: Candidatus Peregrinibacteria bacterium
Lineage: Bacteria; Candidatus Peregrinibacteriota
Description: tRNA-Ala
Rfam family: tRNA
About the family: Transfer RNA (tRNA) molecules are approximately 80 nucleotides in length. Their secondary structure includes four short double-helical elements and three loops (D, anti-codon, and T loops). Further hydrogen bonds mediate the characteristic L-shaped molecular structure. tRNAs have two regions of fundamental functional importance: the anti-codon, which is responsible for specific mRNA codon recognition, and the 3' end, to which the tRNAs corresponding amino acid is attached (by aminoacyl-tRNA synthetases). tRNAs cope with the degeneracy of the genetic code in two manners: having more than one tRNA (with a specific anti-codon) for a particular amino acid; and 'wobble' base-pairing, i.e. permitting non-standard base-pairing at the 3rd anti-codon position.
Source: RNAcentral